UACGAAGGGGGCUAGCGUUGCUCGGAAUUACUGGGCGUAAAGGGCGCGUAGGCGGAUGUCUAAGUUGGGGGGUGAAAUCCCGGGGCUCAACCUCGGGAACCGCCUUCAAUACUGGAUAUCUUGAGUUCGGGAGAGGUGAGUGGAAUGCCGAGUGUAGAAGUGAAAUUCGUAGAUAUUCGGCGGAACACCAGUGGCGAAGGCGACUCACUGGCCCGAUACUGACGCUGAGGCGCGAAAGCGUGGGGGAGCAAACAGG
Molecule: ribosomal RNA, 256 nt
Filed under: uncultured bacterium
Lineage: Bacteria
Description: partial 16S ribosomal RNA
Rfam family: Bacterial small subunit ribosomal RNA
Source: RNAcentral